GGAGCACUCUGAAAAUCAUGAGCAUAGUCGUUGUCCAAGGAGUCAAACCCCUUAAAGAUCAAACAGGGAAAACUGUUGAACUAUGAGAAAAAUCACCGAGGAAUCAGUAUGGCUGAGCCUAUAGAUAGACCAUUCCUCACAAGAGCACUCCCUGAAAAUCAAGCCACUCAGAAGGACCCAUGAGCAUCGACAAAUCUCGGAGCCAAGAUGGUGAACAGAGGAACUUGCAGGUAGUUCAUGGAACACUCCGCAUUGGCACAAAGACGAGCAGAG
RNAcentral lists this unclassified non-coding RNA (273 nucleotides) under Hevea brasiliensis (rubber tree). Lineage: Eukaryota; Viridiplantae; Streptophyta; Magnoliopsida; Malpighiales; Euphorbiaceae. The record is from RNAcentral.